GUCAAAGCAUUGAUGAAGACAUGCGGCGUUUGACGCGCGUCCCAGAGAUAGGAAUCCCGGGCUGAAAAUUCCUAACGCAGGCGCAAGCGGCCGUACCCCUUCGAAGCUGCAUGAUGGAACCCGGCACGUCCGGAAAGUAAGUGAUGCCGGCCUAAUCCCCGUUAUAGGAUCCCAGAGAACGCCUCGGCGUUGAAUUAGGGUGGAACCACGGGUCUGAACGUACAGCACUCGUCCCUUUG
Molecule: small RNA, 239 nt
Filed under: Paenibacillus sp. P22
Lineage: Bacteria; Bacillati; Bacillota; Bacilli; Caryophanales; Paenibacillaceae
Description: T-box leader
Source: RNAcentral